Molecule: transfer RNA, 69 nt
Filed under: Rhizomys sumatrensis (large bamboo rat)
Lineage: Eukaryota; Metazoa; Chordata; Mammalia; Rodentia; Spalacidae
Description: tRNA-Ser
Rfam family: tRNA
About the family: Transfer RNA (tRNA) molecules are approximately 80 nucleotides in length. Their secondary structure includes four short double-helical elements and three loops (D, anti-codon, and T loops).
Source: RNAcentral
AAGAAAGACACAGAGGUUGUGAUGUUGGCUUGAAAUCAAUUUUUGGGGGUUCGAUUCCUUCCUUUCUUA